CUCAGCUUCUAAUCUAUUUCAAUUGCUUUCUAUUUUAUUAUGACUUAAUUUUUUAUUAUUCUUUUGGAUUUUGAUGAAUACGAAGUCAGGAAAUUUAGUCUGAAGCAGAGAUAGUGUGUAUCGACGCUGUGCGAAUUUGAUUCAAUAUGCACUCUGAUCGAAAGUGUUCUCUGCAAAAUCGAAUUCACAAGGGAAAGAUGGGCAGUUGUCUUUUAUUUUCAGUUGAUUUGUCAACAAUCAUCUUACCUACACUUUCUGAAAAUUUCUCCAAUCUUCUUUUUCUCCAAUUUUUGUCAAAUUUUCAUUUUUAGCGCACUUGCUUUUUUACUGCGCAUCAAUGACCGAAAGUGAAGAUUUUUUUGAUUUAUUAAUUCUAUUGCAAUUAGUUUUCACAGCAAAUGGCACUAUGUUUCAAAGGCUGCGCCAAUAUUCUGUAAAGAAUAAGAAUGGGAUAGUCUUUGAACAAAUGUGCAUAAAUUAAAUGCCGAGUUGAGCUCGGCGGCGGCCAGACAACCGUUGAGAUGGAUCCACAGAUCAGCGCCGCUCUAUCUACGGUGCUUGUCUACUAAAUCCAUCUCAAAUUCUCUUCNAAUUAUAAUGAUUUCCCCUAUCUUCUUGAUUAAUUUAUUAUGGUUUUUCUGGAUUUGGUUUCUAACGAAUCAGUUAAGAAUUUUUGCCUCGUUUGCAUUCUUAAAUAAGUAUUUCACAUGUCUGUAUUUUCCAGUGUUGUGAAUCUUGUAAUGACUGCCAUACAAGAUGUUCGAUGCUUGUUAUAUGGUAUUCCAAGUUGGUAAUGAACUGUGUUUGAUUUCUGGUGACGAUGAGGUCUUAUAUUGAUUUUCCCCUAUGCUCAUAAGUUAAAUCAGUUUGAAAUGGCCUGUAUGUUUCAACUAUCUCUACCGUUUUCCUUCAACUUGUUUAUGCAUUCAUAAGUGUUUGAUGUGUAUGAUAAAAGCUCUUAUUGUGCUGAGAGCCUACGAGAUGCUGCUCAGUUAGUCAGUUACUAGGAUUGGUGAAAAUUUAAAUCAAAUUAAAUUAAUAAUGCAAUGUUGUUUCUUUUAUUACGGUUUGGCCUUGUUUCUUGUUUCAAUAAAUUUCUACUUUUUUGUGAUUCUGACAGAAGUGAAUGUUGUAGCAGCUUACUUGUUGGCUGUGUUGGGUGGCAAUGUCUCCCCUCUGCUGAUGAUAUUUCCGGCAUCCUCGGCUCAGGUUAACAUCUACUUUAUGCGUUCAUUUAUUUUAGGGCUGUUUGGAUUUGCACAUAAGAGUCCUGGACUUGUUUAUAUCUACAUGCGUUUAGUUUUUUUUGUAUAAAUUAUAUAAGAAGAUACAGAAAUUUAAAGAUUGCGCAAUGGAGGGCUCAACUCAAGACUUUAGGUCUUAGACAUUAACUUCCUAUCGUUUUGCCAACACAUGUACACAUGUGUUUUGUUUUUAAUUGCUUUAGGAGAUGUUUAUGCCUUUGGUGUCUUAUGAGCUGCAGAGAUACAAAAUUGCUAAUUAGCAUUUCUAAGUAAAUUCUUCAUUGUUGCUAUAAUUGAGAUUGAAGUGUCAUAGAUGUUUUUUUGGCCUUAGUGUCAUAAAUAUUGUUCUUCUAAAACUAUUUAUGUGUCAGUUGUAGCUGACGUCGAUAAGGAAAUAGUUGAAUUGCUUGUCUCAAGUUGGCGGUAUAGAUAUUAUUGAGUUGAUUGCUGCUGGAAGGAAGAAAUUGGUUAUCUAUUUCUUUUGCAGGAUAUGAGUUUUGGUCUCUUUGACUAAGAAAAUUGCAAAACAUUUUCUAUUGCAACUGUCUGUGUCUUUGUUGUAGUAGAAAAUUCUCUUUUUUAUGACUUUGGCUUAGUUUUUAGUUGGAAAAGAAUUUGUUUUUGUUGUAGUAUUUUUUUUUAUGAUUUUGGCUUAGUUUUUAGUUCGAGAAAAAUUUGUUGCUUCAACGAGUCCAUUGCACAAUGAAGAUAUAAUACUAUCAAUUUUGAAUUUCAUAUGUUGUGUUGAAUUAAUGUAGCUCUACUUGUUGAGCUCCUAUUUUGCAAGAUUGUUUUUCUGUUGGAAAUGUCUUAUUUGAUUUGAGUUAAAGCAUUGACAUCGGUUGACUCAUUUGGGGGGUCCUGAGUUGAUUUUCUAAUGAGUCGGCUGAUGUAAGUUGUCGUCGACUCAAGGUUGACUCUUCAUGAUAAGCUUGACUAAUCCGUCUAAAUGCAAGGUGCGUGCAAUGCAUGCGUUGUAUAUAAAAAAAUCUGAUUUUCAAUGUUUGGCUGCAUUGCCCAUUUUUUAUUUUUAUUUUUAUUUUU
RNAcentral lists this long non-coding RNA (2288 nucleotides) under Salvia miltiorrhiza (redroot sage). RNAcentral describes it as "long non-coding RNA (SMIL_LNC007061)". The stretch from base 400 to 584 matches the Rfam family "small nucleolar RNA snoR143". The record is from RNAcentral. Lineage: Eukaryota; Viridiplantae; Streptophyta; Magnoliopsida; Lamiales; Lamiaceae.